This is a long non-coding RNA of Peromyscus californicus insignis, 462 nucleotides long. RefSeq lists it as uncharacterized. NCBI's taxonomy places the organism in Eukaryota, Metazoa, Chordata, Mammalia, Rodentia, Cricetidae. The transcript has 3 exons. The record is from RefSeq and is a predicted model, not a curated record.
CGGAAGCGGAGGCCGGCGCCUCCUCGGCGGCGGAUUCGAGGGUGUGUUUUGUCAGUAGCGGUUUCUGUGGCGCUGCAGGUGGCCCGCCAUGCCGUCGGAGGGUCGCUGCUGGGAAACUCUAAGGGCGCUGCGCAAUUCCAGCAAAGGCCGCCUGCCCUACCCACCCGCGAGUGGCUGGUGCACUACGAGGAUGUUUUGGAAGAAUGCACAACUCUUCCAAAACUAUCUUCUUACUCUGGAUGGGUGGUAGAUCACAUCCUACCCAACACCUCACCCCACACACAAGAGAACUCUCCUUCCUCUGAAUGUUCACCAUCCUCUGGAUCUACUUCAGGCCUGGACCAACCCUUACUCCUUAAGUCUCCUGUCAGAAGCACUCCAGAAUCCUCCUCACCUUCAUCAAAUGGAACCAAGAUCACACAGGAGUGCCAGCGCACAGAACCUGUUGCGCCUUCUGUCCUC